Molecule: small RNA, 260 nt
Filed under: Otolemur garnettii (small-eared galago)
Lineage: Eukaryota; Metazoa; Chordata; Mammalia; Primates; Galagidae
Description: Metazoan signal recognition particle RNA (ENSOGAG00000033067.1)
Source: RNAcentral
GCCAGGCGUUGUGGUGGGUACCUGUAGUCCCAGCUCCUUGGGAGGCCGAGGCAAGAGAGUCGCUUAAGCACAGGAGUUUGAGGUUGCUGUGAGCUGUGAUGCCAUGACACUCUAUCGAGGGUGACAUAGUAAGACUCUGUCUCAAAAAACAAAACGAAACAAACCAAUUUAUUUAGACUUACUCUGUCGCCCUGGGUAGAGUGCCAUGGCAUCAUAGCUCACAACAACCUCAAACUCUUGGGUUGAAGCGAUCCUCUUGC